This 612-nucleotide ribosomal RNA is filed under the name uncultured bacterium. RNAcentral describes it as "bacterial SSU rRNA". It matches the Rfam family "Bacterial small subunit ribosomal RNA", at positions 63 to 669 of the family's 1533-position model. The record is from RNAcentral.
CGAGGGGCAGCGGAGAGUAGCAAUACUCUGCCGGCGACCGGCGAAAGGGUGCGUAACGCGUGAGCAACUUGCCCGUAUCCGGGACAUAAGCGGUGGAAACGCCGUCUAAUUUCCCAUAACAACGAGGGCCGCAUGACCCAUGUUUGAAAGAUCCGUCGGAUACGGAUGGGCUCGCGAGACAUUAGCUAGUCGGCGUGGUAACGGCACACCGAGGCGACGAUGUCUAGGGGUUCUGAGAGGAAGGUCCCCCACACUGGAACUGAGACACGGUCCAGACUCCUACGGGAGGCAGCAGUGAGGAAUAUUGGUCAAUGGGCGCAAGCCUGAACCAGCCAUGCCGCGUGAAGGAAUAAGGCCCUAUGGGUCGUAAACUUCUUUUGUGGUGGAGCAAUAAGGUGCACGUGUGCAUCGAUGAGAGUACAUCACGAAUAAGCAUCGGCUAACUCCGUGCCAGCAGCCGCGGUAAUACGGAGGAUGCAAGCGUUAUCCGGAUUUAUUGGGUUUAAAGGGUGCGUAGGCUGUUCGACAAGUCAGGGGUGAAAGCCCAGUGCCUAACACUGGAACUGCCUUUGAUACUGCCGAGCUGGAAUACGGAUGCCGUGGGAGGAAUGA